UGAUAUGAUGGCUUCUUAAUGUUCCUCAUUAGAAUGUAAUAAUGAUAGGGCACUGGCAAAUAUGUUUGAUAUAACCAGAUGGGCUUUUAACAUUGAUCCUGGUUUUCAUCCUUUCUUUCAGUGACUCUUGCUGCUGUAAUAGGAGGAGGAGCAGGAGCCGUGGUCGCAGCUCCUGUGGUUCUGGGAGUUGUAGGUUUCACUUCAGCUGGGAUAGCUGCAGGUACCUAUGCUGCCCAAAUGAUGGCAGCAGCUGCCGUCGCUAACGGAGGAGGAGUGGCAGCAGGAGGUCUUGUGGCUGGUUUGCAGGCAGCAGGUGCUGCUGGUCUGUCUGGAGCUGCUACAGCUGCUGUGGCAGGCACUGGAGGAACACUUGCAGGGCUGGCUGCACUCAUCAUCUGACAACCAUGAAGAAAAAAGAUGAAGCUACAAAAUGUUUGCUAUUUUAAAUGAUCAGCUCAGUAAACUAAACUCAUCAUGUUUGAUCUUUCAGACAACUAAAAUGUUUGAUGCAAUAAAUCCCUAAAGCACA
This is a long non-coding RNA of Labrus mixtus (cuckoo wrasse), 529 nucleotides long. RefSeq lists it as uncharacterized. The transcript is spliced from 3 exons. NCBI's taxonomy places the organism in Eukaryota, Metazoa, Chordata, Actinopteri, Labriformes, Labridae. The record is from RefSeq and is a predicted model, not a curated record.